GGAACUGUGCCUGAGUGCCCAAGGACCACUUUGAUAGAGUGAACCACAGAGGUUAAAAUCCUCUCAGCUCCU
Molecule: transfer RNA, 72 nt
Filed under: Cetopsidium sp. NM-2010
Lineage: Eukaryota; Metazoa; Chordata; Actinopteri; Siluriformes; Cetopsidae
Description: tRNA-Ile
Rfam family: tRNA
About the family: Transfer RNA (tRNA) molecules are approximately 80 nucleotides in length. Their secondary structure includes four short double-helical elements and three loops (D, anti-codon, and T loops). Further hydrogen bonds mediate the characteristic L-shaped molecular structure. tRNAs have two regions of fundamental functional importance: the anti-codon, which is responsible for specific mRNA codon recognition, and the 3' end, to which the tRNAs corresponding amino acid is attached (by aminoacyl-tRNA synthetases). tRNAs cope with the degeneracy of the genetic code in two manners: having more than one tRNA (with a specific anti-codon) for a particular amino acid; and 'wobble' base-pairing, i.e. permitting non-standard base-pairing at the 3rd anti-codon position.
Source: RNAcentral